Molecule: ribosomal RNA, 777 nt
Filed under: uncultured marine bacterium
Lineage: Bacteria
Description: bacterial SSU rRNA
Rfam family: Bacterial small subunit ribosomal RNA
Source: RNAcentral
CUGGCGGCAGGCCUAACACAUGCAAGUCGAGCGCACUCUUCGGAGUGAGCGGCGGACGGGUUAGUAACGCGUGGGAACAUACCCUUUUCUACGGAAUAGCCUCGGGAAACUGAGAGUAAUACCGUAUACGCCCUUUUGGGGAAAGAUUUAUCGGUGAAGGAUUGGCCCGCGUUUGAUUAGAUAGUUGGUGGGGUAAUGGCCUACCAAGUCUACGAUCAAUAGCUGGUUUGAGAGGAUGAUCAGCAACACUGGGACUGAGACACGGCCCAGACUCCUACGGGAGGCAGCAGUGGGGAAUCUUAGACAAUGGGCGCAAGCCUGAUCUAGCCAUGCCGCGUGAGUGACGAAGGCCUUAGGGUCGUAAAGCUCUUUCGCCAGGGAUGAUAAUGACAGUACCUGGUAAAGAAACCCCGGCUAACUCCGUGCCAGCAGCCGCGGUAAUACGGAGGGGGUUAGCGUUGUUCGGAAUUACUGGGCGUAAGGCGUACGUAGGCGGAUUGGAAAGUAUGGGGUGAAAUCCCAGGGCUCAACCCUGGAACUGCCCUGUAAACUAUCAGUCUAGAGUUCGAGAGAGGUGAGUGGAAUUCCAAGUGUAGGGGUGAAAUUCGUAGAUAUUUGGAGGAACACCAGUGGCGAAGGCGGCUCACUGGCUCGAUACUGACGCUGAGGUACGAAAGUGUGGGGAGCAAACAGGAUUAGAUACCCUGGUAGUCCACACCGUAAACGAUGAAUGCCAGACGUCGGGGGGCUUGCCCUUCGGUGUCACACCUAACGGAU